UGGUGGAGUGAUUUGUCUGCUUAAUUGCGAUAACGAACGAAACCUUAACCUGCUAAAUAGCCAGGCUAGCUUUGGCUGGUCGCCGGCUUCUUAGAGGGACUAUCGGCUCAAGCCGAUGGAAGUUUGAGGCAAUAACA
Molecule: ribosomal RNA, 137 nt
Filed under: uncultured eukaryote
Lineage: Eukaryota
Description: partial 18S ribosomal RNA
Rfam family: Eukaryotic small subunit ribosomal RNA
Source: RNAcentral